GACGGAGGAUGCAAGCGUUAUCCGGAAUGAUUGGGCGUAAAGCGUCCGCAGGCGGCCGUUCAAGUCUGCUGUCAAAGACCGGGGCUUAACUUCGGAAAGGCAGUGGAAACUGAACAGCUAGAGUAUGGUAGGGGCAGAGGGAAUUCCUGGUGUAGCGGUGAAAUGCGUAGAGAUCAGGAAGAACAUCGGUGGCGAAGGCGCUCUGCUGGACCAUAACUGACACUCAGGGACGAAAGCUAGGGGAGCGAAUGGG
RNAcentral lists this ribosomal RNA (253 nucleotides) under uncultured bacterium. Its description in RNAcentral is "partial 16S ribosomal RNA". It matches the Rfam family "Bacterial small subunit ribosomal RNA", at positions 524 to 776 of the family's 1533-position model. The record is from RNAcentral.